Molecule: transfer RNA, 74 nt
Filed under: Thermoplasmatales archaeon
Lineage: Archaea; Methanobacteriati; Thermoplasmatota; Thermoplasmata; Thermoplasmatales
Also listed under: 1 other name
Description: tRNA-Val
Rfam family: tRNA
About the family: Transfer RNA (tRNA) molecules are approximately 80 nucleotides in length.
Source: RNAcentral
GGGCUCGUGGUCUAGGUGGUUAUGAUGUCGCCUUGACAGGGCGAAGAUCGGGAGUUCGAAUCUCCCCGAGCCCA